This 336-nucleotide unclassified non-coding RNA is filed under the name Hevea brasiliensis (rubber tree). Lineage: Eukaryota; Viridiplantae; Streptophyta; Magnoliopsida; Malpighiales; Euphorbiaceae. The record is from RNAcentral.
GUACAAAGUAUUUGAUAACGAGACAAAUAUAAAAAAUGGAGCUUCCUAUCCUGGAAUCUGAAAAUAAAUCCCAGAACCUUCGGAAAUGGGAUUAGCAUGAAAUUGCCCAUAAAAUGCAUAAACAAUGACGGUAAUAAUACUGACCACCACAAAUCUAACCCAGGCUUCUUGGUGUAACUGAGCAAAUAGGAACAUGUUGACGAAUAUGCAAAGGGCCGGUACAUAGGGAACUCCCGGACAAGGAAAUCCUGGCACAUCUCCGUAGAUAUGGCGAAGAUGAAGAGCGAUCGAUGCAAGAAAUGCUAAAACAGCAGCUACAACAGAAACCCACAGCGA